GACGCAGUGGCACAGUGGUUAAGCGUGCUUGACUUGUGAUCAAAAGGUCCUGAGUUCUAAUCCUUGCCACAGCUUUUGCG
Molecule: non-coding RNA, 80 nt
Organism: Gymnothorax javanicus (giant moray)
Lineage: Eukaryota; Metazoa; Chordata; Actinopteri; Anguilliformes; Muraenidae
Source: the annotation of a GenBank genome assembly